UCGACUGGGGAGAUUCAGCGUCAGCGGCGUUGGCUCGACAUAGUGUGUUAUAUCGUGGACUUCUGUCUCGAUUUUCGUUAUCUCUAUGCCGUGUCCGAUGUCGUCGUCGUGCACUUCUCCUCUAGUAGAACGUCGUGACCCGUUGGGUGCCGGUCUACGGCCCGAGGUGCAGACUGUCGCGUCGCUUCGGCGCAUGCGGCAGAGCCUCGGUCGCCCGGCCGGCUGCUCGGCGGUAGGACACAUGGUAUCUGGCCGCAAUUUUCGAACUGCGUCGGGCCCUCCGCAAGCGAGGUCAGUGUCUCGGAGGUACGGACCCUAGUGCCGUCACCGAGCCUGGCCAGCUGUUGGCAGGUGGAGAUCUCAGACGGGCAAAUAAUGGUACCGGUCGGCGACGCUACUGCUUUGGGUACU
Molecule: ribosomal RNA, 411 nt
Filed under: Delta sp. SH-2011
Lineage: Eukaryota; Metazoa; Arthropoda; Insecta; Hymenoptera; Vespidae
Description: eukaryotic LSU rRNA
Source: RNAcentral